GUCGAGCGGAUGACGGGAGCUUGCUCCUUGAUUCAGCGGCGGACGGGUGAGUAAUGCCUAGGAAUCUGCCUGGUAGUGGGGGACAACGUUUCGAAAGGAACGCUAAUACCGCAUACGUCCUACGGGAGAAAGCAGGGGACCUUCGGGCCUUGCGCUAUCAGAUGAGCCUAGGUCGGAUUAGCUAGUUGGUGGGGUAAUGGCUCACCAAGGCGACGAUCCGUAACUGGUCUGAGAGGAUGAUCAGUCACACUGGAACUGAGACACGGUCCAGACUCCUACGGGAGGCAGCAGUGGGGAAUAUUGGACAAUGGGCGAAAGCCUGAUCCAGCCAUGCCGCGUGUGUGAAGAAGGUCUUCGGAUUGUAAAGCACUUUAAGUUGGGAGGAAGGGCAGUAAGCUAAUACCUUGCUGUUUUGACGUUACCGACAGAAUAAGCACCGGCUAACUCUGUGCCAGCAGCCGCGGUAAUACAGAGGGUGCAAGCGUUAAUCGGAAUUACUGGGCGUAAAGCGCGCGUAGGUGGUUCGUUAAGUUGGAUGUGAAAGCCCCGGGCUCAACCUGGGAACUGCAUCCAAAACUGGCGAGCUAGAGUACGGUAGAGGGUGGUGGAAU
This 611-nucleotide ribosomal RNA is filed under the name Pseudomonas putida. RNAcentral describes it as "bacterial SSU rRNA". It matches the Rfam family "Bacterial small subunit ribosomal RNA", at positions 61 to 667 of the family's 1533-position model. Lineage: Bacteria; Pseudomonadati; Pseudomonadota; Gammaproteobacteria; Pseudomonadales; Pseudomonadaceae. The record is from RNAcentral.